GGGUUGUGAGGUUAAGCGACCAAGCGUACACGGUGGAUGCCCUGGCAGUCAGAGGCGAUGAAGGACGUGCUAAUCUGCGAAAAGCGCCGGCGAGG
RNAcentral lists this ribosomal RNA (95 nucleotides) under Salmonella bongori serovar 48:z35:-. RNAcentral's name for it is "partial 23S ribosomal RNA". It matches the Rfam family "Bacterial large subunit ribosomal RNA", at positions 1 to 86 of the family's 2925-position model. The record is from RNAcentral. Lineage: Bacteria; Pseudomonadati; Pseudomonadota; Gammaproteobacteria; Enterobacterales; Enterobacteriaceae.